CAAUCAUCGUCCUCACACCCCACUCCUCUCUCAAAACCCUAGAGACCACCGCCACCAAAUCCCACUGCCCUAGUGUGGCGACGCCACUUCCAAUCACCACCAAACUAACACCAUCCACUCUCCUCACUCUCCUCUUUCCAACCGUACCAACCAUUUUCUUCGAAUCAUCACUCAAGUGAUCGAAUCUUAAUUCGAAAAGUUCGGUCAAAAUACAAUUUCACCCAAACUGGCUCAAAUUCACACCCCAUAGUCCCUAUGGCUCCCUUAUCUGGAAUCCCAAGUCAAAAGCCGUCGAAUAUCAGCGGACCACCCUCAAUUCCACAUCUAGGUUGUCUGGUCUAGCUUGUUCGGGAAUUUUUUCUAUUUCAGUGUAUCUCCAUGGUAAGUCGUCUUAUUUCAGUUUUAAAUUUCUGUUUAGAAUAGGUUAGUCUAAUCAUGCAUAUAUUAAUUGCUGCUUGGUCAGUAUCUACUGAUUUGGCUUUGGUUUGUUUUGUUUAGUCAAAUCGAUUAGUUGUACUUUAGGUUUUAUUAGUAAUCAGUAAGUAGUCUGCAUGCAAAUUUAAUCUCAGGUUAAUUGAAGUUUAGUGGUUAAUUGCAUUUAGGCUUUCUUCUUGCAUCCGAGUUUCAUCCUGAUAGUUUUGAUUCUGUUUUUGUUUUUCUGGUUAUUAAUUUCUUGCUUUCUUGGUUGCUGAAAGUUCUUAGAUGGCUAGUCAGUAGUGUUAAUUAGGAUUGUUUUGAGUUAUGGUCAUGCAAUGCUUGGGAAUGGUUGGGAUUUAUUCUAGUUGGAUUUUGUUAAUUGUUUGGCUAAUGUUUAGAGUAAAUCUGACUGGUGAUAGCUGUUAGUUAAUUUUAGUGAUUAAGGGUUUAGUAAUUUUGGGAGGUUAACAAGGUUAAAUUGGACAAAGGCCAAAGGGGAAAGGGCUGCAGUAAUUUUAGGAGUUGGCAUGGGUAGUUUGGGCAUGGAAAAGGGUAAUAUAUUAAGAAUUAGUAAUUACAAGAAAGGGUUAAGGGUAAUACAGGUAUUUGCAGGCUCAAAGAGCAUCCUAGAAGCUCCUAGAAUAGGGAUUUAGUAUACAUUUCAGAAAACUUAGGGAGUAACUUGAGAAACAAGUUAGGAAAGUGAUGUUUAAAGUGAAAAAUGGGCAGGGACUAAAAGAGAAAACCAAAAAUUUGAUCUUUUACCCUAGAGUGGCCUAUAAAUUGAGUCCCUCGUUUCUUUUGAAAGGGUCUUCUUUUUUUUUCAGCCAGGAUUAGCUCCCAAAAUACCCUUUUUAUGUUAAACUUUUAGAUUCCGGUAGCUUCCCAAAUUCAGAAACUACAUUCCGAAAACAAAAGAAUGAAAACAACAAAAAAAUGCAGUAAAAAAUCAAAAGAGCACUAUUCCAUUGAAACUUUAGGACAAUUUCAAUUUCUAGUUGUUAAAUCACACCUUCUAGUUUGAGGUUUGGCCAUAACAAUUUCAGAGGUUUGUUGGUUUGAUUUCGAGUAAGUGUGGGUCUGUUUAAACUGAUUUGGGUUGACUUGUUGUUGGCUGAAAGUUUCAAAGGUUUUUGGUGUUCAUUUUCGAGUUUAUUUGAGUGAUUUUGGUGAUGUCCUGGGUGAUCUCUGUUUUCUUAGUGGGUUUUAAAGUUUUCGGGGUGUUUGAGUUAUUGCUAUUGAUUUCUGCCCAUCAUUGUUGUUCGAAUUGCUUGUUGUUGAUCCUUCUUCUUCAUUGUUUCAUAUUUCCAGGUGCACAGCUUGUAACAUUUCGAUGUAUAUCUGAGCUUGAAGAAUGAAUAAAUAAAAUGCUAUUUGAAUGGUUGUUAUAAUAUUUGUUCAUUUAAAGUAUUUAGUAGUUUAGUUCAUUUGGUUUGUAUGAAUAGACUUGGACUGUACUAAGACUGUUGGAAUUUGCUUGGGUUGUUUGAUUGUGUUUAGUUGGAUCAUGAUGCUAUCAUUUUGUUUGAAAUUAGACUGUCAAGGGAUUUAGAUUAAUUGGAUUGCUUGAGUUAGUUUGGUUAGUGAAGUAAUGCUACAUUCAUGAAAACUAGAAUUGAGACUGAGUUGAAUUCGACGUUUUUUAUUCAUGAGUAUAACCUAAGUCUGUGAGUAUUUGAAGUUUAGAUUCAAUAUUUGGUUUUUCAAAUCAGUGAUAUAGUGUUCUGUUAGAAAUUGGUAGUUACAUGUUCACUUAAUUCAAUUGGGUCUGAUUUGAUCAUGCAUAUAUUAAUUGUUGUGUGAUAUAGUGUUCUGUUAGAAAUUGGUAAUUACAUGUUCACUUAAUUCAAUUGGGGUUGAUGUUUAAAAUCGUUAAGUUUGAGUCCUGUCAUUAUCUCAUUACUCCCUUUAAUUAAUAAUGUAAAUCAAUGUGUUGAUAACCACGGGUUCCUUGAUGGAGACGGGGUUAGAAAUGCGUUUUCAUGAUGCCGUAAUUCUUAUAAAACAAACAAAGAUCAAAACAAAUGAUUCAAAAUUGGAGACAAUCCGCACCAAAUAAAAAUAAAUGAAGGGCCCUCAGUAAUUGGUUAUUAAAAAUGAUUAGAAUUUGGAAGGGCCGUCCAGAGAAUUUCAACGGCCUUUCCCGAAAAAUAUUGCGUUAGAACCUUCAAGUGUGAUUUAAUUAAAUUACUUCCUUAAAUUCGGGUGCACAUUGAUGCGACCCAAAUUCAAAUCACGACGAAAUCGAAAUGUGUUGACGAACACGGGUGCCUUGAUGAUGACGUGGCCAGAAACGCGUUUUCACUGUUGCUGCCCAAUUAUUCCCUAUGUAUUUUUGUACCCAAAAUAUUUUCAAAAUAGCUUGUGAAUGCAUAUAUGAGCAUCCACAAAAAGUUUGGUAUUUUUCUAUAUUUUUCAAAUUUUUUAUAUCCAAUUUACAACUUAUUUUGUACUAAGAAAAUCCAAUAUUUAGUAUCAAAUCUUGUUAUUUUAAUAAAUAAUUUAUUUUAUUCUCUCAUCUACAUAACCCACAUGUUUGUAUCUGUAUUUGUCUGUUUUCGUGUUCUUCUGGGUUCUUUUUUGAGUUCUGUGUUCUUUGCUUUAAUUUUGUUGCUAGUGUUUAAUUUCCCCUAUCAUGUUGUGUUCUUUCUUAAGGUUUCUGGCUGUUCAUAUGGUGAUCUUAUGCUGAUUCUUACAAGCUCUCUUCAAGGCUGUAAUUACUGGCCUUAAAUUGUGAUUUUGUGUAUUCUCCUUACAGAUUUGGUAUUGAUUUUGAAUUUUCUUCCCCAAUCAGUGGGAUACAUUCCUUAAUUUAUAACUGACCUCCUAAGUUUCCAAUUUUGAAAAUUAUUUUCCAGAAUUAAAGUGGUAUUUUUUCUUAUAUGUGCGCACAAGUAUGUUGAUUUAUUUGCUUGACAUGUUUCCCUGGUUAAGUAUCAUGCACCUAGUCUUCAUUGUAUACCUUAUACUAUUUUUAUUUCCUUAUGUGCCCAUGUCAUACUAUGUGAUUCCUUUCCAUUUAAAAUGACUACUUAUUACCGUUUGACAUUGAUUCCUUAAUUAAAGGUGAGUCCUUAUGCUUAUUUGAUUAUGAUUGAUACUCAGUUCCUUAAAUAUGGACUGAUACCUUAUUGGUUUACUCGUUUUUAAUACUAUAAGUACACCUCACCUUUCUCAUUGAACACUCCAACACACGCUGCUCUCACAAAUUUCUCGUUUUUAGUACUAUAAAUACUCCUCACCUUUCUCUUUGAACACACGAACACACACUGCUCUCACUACCUCAGAAUCUCUGAAUUCUCUCUUUCUCUGUUAUUACUAUAGUCUCUCAUUCUCUUUUUUGAACACUCAAUUGGCUAAAAGCCAAGAUUAGUAGCCUAGGUUGAUUACUUUACACAACUGGGUUUUAUUUGUUUGUCAACAUUGGGUCUGUUGCUGCUGCUAUUCUCAUAACUGCUGUUACUCACACUGCUGCUCUCAUUCUCUGCACACUUUGCUCUCCCUUUGUGCACUAUUGCUUUGCUAUGAUAUCCUAUUACCAUCAAUUGGUAUGUCACCUAAUAAAGAUAAAUUUUCCACAAAAAUAUGAUCUUAUUGGUUUUGCAUUUCAUAAUGUUUCUUAUAUGCUUUUAUUUAUGGUUUUGUUUCUCUUUCUGUCACUAGCAUGUUACUUACUAGUCUAUUUGGUUCUGUUUAACAUGCCCCCUACCCCUGUUGCCCUUGUCUCAAUAUAUGUUUUCCUCUUCCAUGUGCACUACUGCUUGGCUACUUAACAGCUCUGAAACCUCUCCCUGAGGUUGAUUUUAUUAAGAGUUCGGAAUAGUGAGAGCUGCACUCUUGUUUGCCACCAUAUCUGGUUACUUUCAAUAUGUUACCUGUGUAAGUAGUUUACUUUGCUUAUUUGUUCCCUUCCCUUUUGCCUUAUUUUUGUGAUGCUCUGUUAUUCUAAAACUGAUCAGUCUAAAGGAUUUCAGAAGAACUCUUUCAAUUCUUUCAACUAUUUUAUUAAAAUUGUCUAAACUUUUCAAUUCUUUCAACUAUUUUCUUAAAACUGUCUCAACUUUUAAAUUCUUUCAAUUGUUUUCUUAAAUUUUCUCUCAUCUAUUUUCAACUCUCUCAAUUCUAAUCACAAUCUCAUUCUUAGAGCUUUAGGGUCUGCCCCUUAGAGCAAGCACUGCCUUGGGAGCCUUGAGCACCCAUGGAACUCUGAUGUAAAAUGCUGGCACAUCCAUGCUUGCACUUGUCUAAUUGGGACAGUUUUGGGUGCUUGGUAUUGGCCAGGGGUUCAAACAAACCCUUAGGGAACGUUGUCGCAUCCAAGCCUUGGUAAUGGUUGUGAAUCUCGAAAGGAGUAAUGUUGGAGAUGCUUGGGCCUGGCUGUAGGCUACCUAUAGAAUAACUUCUUCUUUUCUUUCAUUGUUGUAUUUUUUUAAUCACUUGGUCUGUAACAACUUGUAAAGAACAAUGGGGAUUAUAGUGAAAUAUGGCAGGGUUAUGCAUAUAUUAUGGGUAUGGGUAGAAAACAUGUUUAUAGGAUUUUACUUGUCUAUCUGCGUAAUAGAAACCAUGUAUAGUGCAUGCAUCUCACAUGCAGAAAUCCUGUUCUUAGGUCUUUUAAUUUCAGCUUGUUAUUUUUAUAAUCACAACAAGUUAAUAAUCAAAUUACUGCCUUGCAUUUAAAUACCAUGUUUUAGGGCCCCCUAUAUGCAUUAGAUAUCAUGUACUUAAGGUCUUUCUUUUACUACUGUUGAAUGCCUCAUUAAUUUUGUUAAAUUGACGUAAGACUGAUUAACAAAUCCUUGUUAAAAUUAGGAAUCGUUGCAUGAUCCCCGUCUUUGAUAACACCUAGGCAAACCUUAGGUCGGAUAAAAGAUAAAAUGGGCCAAUCACUUUCAAG
This 5314-nucleotide long non-coding RNA is filed under the name Nicotiana benthamiana. RNAcentral describes it as "long non-coding RNA (NBEN_LNC011504)". Lineage: Eukaryota; Viridiplantae; Streptophyta; Magnoliopsida; Solanales; Solanaceae. The record is from RNAcentral.